CGCUGGCGGCGUGCUUAACACAUGCAAGUCGAACGGGGUUUGCGGAGUAGCAAUACGAAGUAAACCUAGUGGCGGACGGGUGAGUAACGCGUGGGUAACCUGCCUCAUACAGGGGGAUAACAGUUGGAAACGACUGCUAAUACCGCAUAAGCGCACAGUACCGCAUGGUACAGUGUGAAAAACUCCGGUGGUAUGAGAUGGACCCGCGUUGGAUUAGCUAGUUGGUGAGGUAACGGCCCACCAAGGCGACGAUCCAUAGCCGACCUGAGAGGGUGACCGGCCACAUUGGGACUGAGAUACGGCCCAGACUCCUACGGGAGGCAGCAGUGGGGAAUAUUGGGCAAUGGGCGCAAGCCUGACCCAGCAACGCCGCGUGAAGGAAGAAGGCUUUCGGGUUGUAAACUUCUUUUGUCGAGGAAGAGUAGAAGACUGUACUCGGCGAAUAAGCCACGGCUAACUACGUG
This 464-nucleotide ribosomal RNA is filed under the name uncultured bacterium. Its description in RNAcentral is "bacterial SSU rRNA". It matches the Rfam family "Bacterial small subunit ribosomal RNA", at positions 34 to 507 of the family's 1533-position model. The record is from RNAcentral.